RNAcentral lists this ribosomal RNA (211 nucleotides) under Klebsiella pneumoniae ISC21. RNAcentral's name for it is "Small Subunit Ribosomal RNA; ssuRNA; SSU rRNA". It matches the Rfam family "Bacterial small subunit ribosomal RNA", at positions 1 to 215 of the family's 1533-position model. The record is from RNAcentral. Lineage: Bacteria; Pseudomonadati; Pseudomonadota; Gammaproteobacteria; Enterobacterales; Enterobacteriaceae.
UUAAAUUGAAGAGUUUGAUCAUGGCUCAGAUUGAACGCUGGCGGCAGGCCUAACACAUGCAAGUCGAGCGGUAGCACAGAGAGCUUGCUCUCGGGUGACGAGCGGCGGACGGGUGAGUAAUGUCUGGGAAACUGCCUGAUGGAGGGGGAUAACUACUGGAAACGGUAGCUAAUACCGCAUAAUGUCGCAAGACCAAAGUGGGGGACCUUCG